RNAcentral lists this transfer RNA (64 nucleotides) under Criotettix japonicus. RNAcentral's name for it is "tRNA-Ala". It matches the Rfam family "tRNA". From Rfam's summary of the family: Transfer RNA (tRNA) molecules are approximately 80 nucleotides in length. Their secondary structure includes four short double-helical elements and three loops (D, anti-codon, and T loops). Further hydrogen bonds mediate the characteristic L-shaped molecular structure. tRNAs have two regions of fundamental functional importance: the anti-codon, which is responsible for specific mRNA codon recognition, and the 3' end, to which the tRNAs corresponding amino acid is attached (by aminoacyl-tRNA synthetases). tRNAs cope with the degeneracy of the genetic code in two manners: having more than one tRNA (with a specific anti-codon) for a particular amino acid; and 'wobble' base-pairing, i.e. permitting non-standard base-pairing at the 3rd anti-codon position. Lineage: Eukaryota; Metazoa; Arthropoda; Insecta; Orthoptera; Tetrigidae. The record is from RNAcentral.
AGGGUUAUAGUUAAUUAUAACAUUUGAAUUGCAAUCAAAAAGUAUUGAUUUAUCAAUUUACCUU